RNAcentral lists this ribosomal RNA (468 nucleotides) under uncultured bacterium. RNAcentral describes it as "partial 16S ribosomal RNA". It matches the Rfam family "Bacterial small subunit ribosomal RNA", at positions 28 to 507 of the family's 1533-position model. The record is from RNAcentral.
GACGAACGCUGGCGGCGUGCUUAACACAUGCAAGUCGAACGGAAAGGCCCUGCUUUUGUGGGGUGCUCGAGUGGCGAACGGGUGAGUAACACGUGAGUAACCUGCCCUUGACUUUGGGAUAACUUCAGGAAACUGGGGCUAAUACCGGAUAGGAGCUCCUGCUGCAUGGUGGGGGUUGGAAAGUUUCGGCGGUUGGGGAUGGACUCGCGGCUUAUCAGCUUGUUGGUGGGGUAGUGGCUUACCAAGGCUUUGACGGGUAGCCGGCCUGGGAGGGUGACCGGCCACAUUGGGACUGAGAUACGGCCCAGACUCCAACGGGAGGCAGUAGUGGGGAAUAUUGCACAAUGGGCGGAAGCCUGAUGCAGCAACGCCGCGUGCGGGAUGACGGCCUUCGGGUUGUAAACCGCUUUCGCCUGUGACGAAGCGUGAGUGACGGUAAUGGGUAAAGAAGCACCGGCUAACUACGUG